Long non-coding RNA from Suricata suricatta (meerkat), 416 nucleotides. RefSeq lists it as uncharacterized. The record is from RefSeq and is a predicted model, not a curated record. NCBI's taxonomy places the organism in Eukaryota, Metazoa, Chordata, Mammalia, Carnivora, Herpestidae. The transcript has 3 exons.
AAGGUAGAAAUUAUAAAAAUAAGCUAAAUAGAAAUUCCGGAGCUAAAAACUACAAUAACUGAAAUGAAAAAUCCACUAAGGGAGCUCAGUAGGAGAAUUAAGCAAGGUGAAAAGAAAACCACUGGACUUGAAGAUACGUAAACUGAGAUUAUCCAUGAUAAAGAACAGCAAAAAAAGAAUGAAGAGAAAUGAUCCAAACCUCAGAUAUCUGUGGGACCAUCCAGUGUACCAGCACGUACAUAAGGAAAUAGUAAAGGGAGUCCUGGAAAAAGUGAAAAGAGAGCAGACACAACUUAACAUGACAUAAAGAAGUAAAGAACACUCAGAAAGGUGGAUGUAUAGGUUUGGCACCCAUUGUUGGGUCUAAUACGACUAAACGUUCCUGCAAAGCUUCGUUGUAGAUGUAAGUACUAUCC